AUAUUGGUGGUUCAGCGGUAGGAUUCCUGUUUUCCAUAUGGGAGACCAGCGUUCGAUUUCCAGCCAAUAUA
RNAcentral lists this transfer RNA (71 nucleotides) under Loxodonta africana (African savanna elephant). It matches the Rfam family "tRNA". Rfam says of the family: Transfer RNA (tRNA) molecules are approximately 80 nucleotides in length. Their secondary structure includes four short double-helical elements and three loops (D, anti-codon, and T loops). Further hydrogen bonds mediate the characteristic L-shaped molecular structure. tRNAs have two regions of fundamental functional importance: the anti-codon, which is responsible for specific mRNA codon recognition, and the 3' end, to which the tRNAs corresponding amino acid is attached (by aminoacyl-tRNA synthetases). tRNAs cope with the degeneracy of the genetic code in two manners: having more than one tRNA (with a specific anti-codon) for a particular amino acid; and 'wobble' base-pairing, i.e. permitting non-standard base-pairing at the 3rd anti-codon position. Lineage: Eukaryota; Metazoa; Chordata; Mammalia; Proboscidea; Elephantidae. The record is from Rfam by way of RNAcentral.